UCCCUUGUCUUUUUCUCUGCACUGCAGUACUGACCUGUAUUGUACUCUCAUAGGUUUUCUCAAACGGUCAUAAAGUUAAUUCCACCAUGAUCGCAGCUUAACCUCAUCUCUGGUUUAACCACCACAGACAAUUCAGGAUUUCAGGUUCAUUACAUAUGAUCUGAUCAAUUCUUUGCUUUGCUUUUGUCUUGGAGAUGCUGUAUGCUUCGACAGCAAAUAAUCAGUGUCAGAUGACAUAAUUGCAUCCCCACCAGCAGCCCUCGCUCGACUGGAUUUAGAUUCACCCAGAUGCGAACGGCUUUGUUUUCUUCAUCAAUUAGUAACCGUCUGUGAAUCUUGGCGCUUCUCUGUGAAGUAUGAGCAUUAGGAUGAGAUGAAUCAUGAAUGUUGGAAUGGAGUACAGAGUUCAACAUCUUGAAUUUCGAGUAAGCGAGCGUGCUGGAAGAAUUGUUUUGGUGAACUGAAUCGUGAUGGAAUUCCAAGUGACUGGCAGCUUCUCCGACAUCGAAUCAGGAUGAACGAUGUUGCAUAAAACCUAAUCAAUAGGAUAGUAUAAAUCAUUACCAAACACCACAAUGGAAAAUCCAAUUACAAAGACUCGUUUCAACACAUUUCCAACGGCAUGUGUAAGUGGUGCUACCCUUUCCAAUGUGUUUGUAGCUACCUGCAAUAUGGUUUGAGAUUUUGCAAUAUCUAAGAUAGUAACGUCGAUAAAUUACAUCAUAUAUAUAUAUAUAUAUGAUUAUUACCUGAUUGUACAAGUGGUAGAACAUCCCUAUCCAAAAUAGGUCAGACAAGAACUUAUAGACGCCAACUUUAGCAAUUGCAUCUUGGAAUCCAUGCUGCAUUAGUUGGGGACCUUCAAUCUGAAAGUGAAAUAAGCACAUAGGAACCUCGUCAACAUUAUCCCUAUAUAGUGUAAAUUUUCCAUUAUUACAUCAUAUUUUUGUUCAAGGGAUCUUACAAGUAUUGCAGGUGGAAGGCAAAACAGGAGUGCAAUUAUCGAAAUGUAAGCAUAGACGUUUGUGCUGUCCAUUCCUGUCUGCCAUGAACAAACAUCUGUGGUCUAAAGAAAUUCUGGUAUGGUUGCAUUCAGGAAAAAUCUUAUGAUACACUUGUAAAUGAUAGGGCUCACCAUUGCUUUCUUUGAGUAAAUACUUCUAUAGGUGAAUGCAAUAUUCGAAAUCAUUGCGCUAAUGAAGCCAGUCCAGUUGAAAGAAAGUUCUGUCAUUGACGCCAUUGAUACUCCUGAUAGGGGUUGAGGAGAUAUCAUCAAAACCAUGUAAACAGCUUGGCAUGGGACACAUUAUUUAGAGAUGCUUGGAACUUACCAAUCACAACAGGGGCUAGUGAGAGCCACAGAGACAAUGGAAUCUGGUGUCCUAAAACAAAUUGUGAAGCUGCAGCACUGAAAAAUGGUUCCAGGGCUGUUGAACAUGAAUUGGACAGAAUAUCCAGAUUUAGGCUUAAAAGAAACAGGGCGCACAUACAGAACUACCAAAAGACUCCAUUCAUCAGUCAACAGCUGCAAACGAUACGUUGGACAUAACGUGUCCAAGAGCAUGACAAAAUGCUACCGGAGUGAGAAGGCCUAAGAGCUCCCUGUCAACUGGCUGCUCAUGGUAGUCAUAUAUAUGAUAUCGGGUCGACAAAGAAAAUCAUUCUAAUGAAACGGUGAUGGAUAUGUAAUCUAAAUUCCGGUAAACUAACUCACAGCACGCUUUGGCAGACCAACAGCCCAGCUAACGAGACAAUAUGCUACUCCAACCAUAAGAUGAACAACAGAGACAAAACUGCACAAGGUAUCUGAUGAUGCAUAUAUUGAACUUGCAUAGAAGUAAGAAAAGCGGAUUAAUUUAGAUAUCAAAUGUCUUACUAUGGAUAGGGGAAGUAAUUGUAGACCUUCUUGUUUAGUAUAUUGAAUAUGACAUUCAGGAAAUACCUGCAUAUCAGCAGUACAAGUGAAAAAGAGCCCGAUUCCUAUAGAUGAGAUGUAUCCAAAAUCUCACCAUGUGAAGAAAAAGAAACCAGUGACGAGAGCUGGGAAUCUCUCUGAAAAGCUCUUGACAUGGGAACUCUCUGCAUCAGCAGCUGUGGCUUUUGGGGUGAAAAUUUGCGAGGAAUGGGGCCUGCUCUUCAAGAUUUCAGUGAAACCAGGAGUUCUCAAGUUCUUGCCAGAAAACUCAACAGAAUUGGUGCAGCUGCAUUUCUGCUAUGGAAUUUGUGGAAAGAAGAAGAAAGCCUUGAUUGAUGAAUCAAAGAGAAGUUGGAGAUUGAAGAAGCCAUGUCGAAAGUAUUGGGGUAUGAUGCCAAACUAGAGCUUGGCACCGGCUGAAAUUGAAUGCCCAGAGUUCUGAUUUAACUAGAAAAUUAAUCAGGUCAGAAACAAGAAACAGGGCCUAUGUAGGAACAAAAUGGAUCGUUGAAACCAAGGUUUGUUUAGCUAGACUCUGGAUAUGUCAAAGCCUCAAAGGUAAGAAAGGAUUCUUAAUCGAUCGAAACACCAGGUUAGAAUUCAGACAGCCACUGAGACUGUAGAGGGCUUUGAAAGAAUGAAAAUAACUAGUAACUGAACUCUUAAGUUCAAUUUCUGGUGAUUAUGAUCGGAGAGAGAGAGAGAGAGAGAUUUGAUCUCUCCUUAACAGAAGUUGUAUUUUCUUGAUUCCACGAUGCCUGACUUUCAACCUUUUUGGAAUUCUGAUUGCACUUAUUGGGAAA
Andrographis paniculata is the source of this 2718-nucleotide long non-coding RNA. RefSeq lists it as uncharacterized. NCBI's taxonomy places the organism in Eukaryota, Viridiplantae, Streptophyta, Magnoliopsida, Lamiales, Acanthaceae. The record is from RefSeq and is a predicted model, not a curated record. The transcript is spliced from 6 exons.